CUUCAUCAAGACGUUGCAAAUGUUGUGAGAACAUGGUUGAAAACACAAUGUCGUCGAGAUAGCACAGACAGGUUUUCCAUUUCAAGCCACACAAGACUUAUCGAUCAUGCGUUCGAAUGUGGCAGGCACAUUGCAGAGUCCAAAAGGCAUCGCACUGAACUCGUAGAGCCCAUCAGGGGUAGCAAAUGUCGUUUUUUCUUUGUCGGAUUUGGACAUCGGUAUUUGCCAGUAGCCUGGUCUAAAGUCAAGGCUAGAAAAUUAUUCAGCACCGUGGAGUGAAUCUAGUGCAUCAUCCAUCCGUGACACGGGGUAAACAUCCUUGCGCACGAUUUUGUUCAGCGCACGGUAAUAGACGCAAGAACACACUGAGCUAUCUUCGUGACAAUUGCAACGACAUGAGUGUCAACAGCUCAAGUGACAGUUGAUCCACGAGGCAACAGUUGGGGUUCGAGAGUUUGGUUUAUUGCAGUAAGCAAUGCAGACCCCUCAGAGAAGCGAAUAAGGCCAGGGGUAAUCAGAAUUGCUCGAGAUAGGGUAUGGUCAUAGGGUAGAAUGAGUACGCCGCCAUCCACAAUGUUACAGGAGUUGACACCUAUAAUCUCUUCUCUAGGUGGCCAAAGAACGUAAUCGGAAGAGGUGACGAGACGAAUGCGUUCUUCGUGGUUAGGAAAAGAAUUGCCAGUGGCAUCCAGUUGUGUGAGGCGCUGACGACAAGAGAUGGAAGCAGACGCCAAAGAAGUCCCACCCCAAGAUGAGUUCAUGGGUCACUCACGAAAUACCGCAAAAACAAUGUGGUGAAGAAUUUAGUCUAUGGACACACGAACAGUACACGGUGCGAUUGGACGAAUAAUAACGUUGGCUGCUGCACAAAGAGAAAGGCCGGAGAAGCCAUCAUCUGGUGCUGUGUACAGCAAGCACAUGCUUCGGGCAAGGAGGGAGCCAGCACCACAUCUACAUCAGCAAGAACCUCGGUGCUCAAAAUAAACAUUUUCUGUGCAAA
Non-coding RNA from Dermacentor andersoni, 1000 nucleotides. The record is from RefSeq and is a predicted model, not a curated record. NCBI's taxonomy places the organism in Eukaryota, Metazoa, Arthropoda, Arachnida, Ixodida, Ixodidae.